This 275-nucleotide long non-coding RNA is filed under the name Jatropha curcas. RNAcentral's name for it is "long non-coding RNA (JCUR_LNC002982)". Lineage: Eukaryota; Viridiplantae; Streptophyta; Magnoliopsida; Malpighiales; Euphorbiaceae. The record is from RNAcentral.
AUACAGUCAAGCAAAAUGCACCCUAGUAUACUGAAUGAACACACAACAGUCACUCAUAUGUCAUCAUAUCAGCACCCACAACAAUAUCACCUUCAAAUAAUCACAUCACGUGGAAAUUAGUCAGUGGAGUCACCGAACCCCCGAUGAGCCGUCCUCCCACAUGGCUCAUCCUCUCACAUGUGCACCAGGGAGCCGAUCCCCCAUACUGGCCGACCGGUCUAAUCCUCACUUGACCAGCCCUCUCAUUGUUUUUACAUUCUCUUUUUUUUUUUNNN